GGGAGGCCCGAGAGAGAAGUUCAUCAGAUGGCCGAGAGCUACAGACCUGGGACCUUUGAGAUGUGUCUGCAGACAUAGGACCUUUGAGAACUUGAUCAAAGUCACAAACCCUCUCCUAGGAAGGCGUUCCCACCCCAUUUUGCAGCCGGUUCGUGGGAGAGGCAUUAGGACUCCCGAUGCCUGCUUUGAGCCGUGUCUUGGUGAAGAGCCCUGCUUCUGUGUCCCUUUAAACCCCUCCAGGCCCUGGGGGUCCUGGGCCGAGUCAACAGCUCCGGCUACGUACAAGUGAGCUCUGUGGCUGUGGACGCCCGAGCACUGGUCGCAGUGGACAACAGCACUUUGCGGGGGCUGCUCAUCUUCAAGACUGCCGAGAACCAGCGGGAGGUGGAGGUUUUGCUCACACACGACCUGCCCCAGCCCGGCCCCUCGGGUCUCCCAGCCCACGUCCUGCUGCAGCUGGCCACCGAGAGGCAGGGGCCCCGCUACAGAGGCACCCUGAGGGUCGGAGUGGACGGCAGACAGGCGUCCGAGGAGCUGACGUUCACUCGGCAGCCAGAGCGCAUCUCCCUGGAGUACACCCUCCAGCACGACGUCCCCAUGCUGCGGACGCUGC
This 613-nucleotide long non-coding RNA is filed under the name Lynx canadensis (Canada lynx). Its description in RNAcentral is "lncRNA (ENSLCNG00005019878.1)". Lineage: Eukaryota; Metazoa; Chordata; Mammalia; Carnivora; Felidae. The record is from RNAcentral.